GAGAACGUGGCGAAGUGGUUACCGCGAACGGCUGUGAACCGUUUAUUGAGAGUUCGAUCCUCUCCGAUCUCCCCA
RNAcentral lists this transfer RNA (75 nucleotides) under Paenibacillus psychroresistens. RNAcentral's name for it is "tRNA-His". It matches the Rfam family "tRNA". Rfam says of the family: Transfer RNA (tRNA) molecules are approximately 80 nucleotides in length. Their secondary structure includes four short double-helical elements and three loops (D, anti-codon, and T loops). Lineage: Bacteria; Bacillati; Bacillota; Bacilli; Caryophanales; Paenibacillaceae. The record is from RNAcentral.